GAUGAACGCUAGCUACAGGCUUAACACAUGCAAGUCGAGGGGUAACAAGAGAAAAGCUUGCUUUUCUUGUUGACGACCGGCGCCCGGGUGAGUAACGCGUAUCCAACCUGCCUAUAACUAGGGAAUAACCUUGCGAAAGUAAGACUAAUACCCUAUGAUUUCCUUUGAUGACAUCAGAUUAGGAAUAAAGAUUUAUCGGUUAUAGAUGGGGAUGCGUUUGAUUAGCUUGUUGGCGGGGUAACGGCCCCCCAAGGCAACGAUCAGUAGGGGUUUUGAGAGGAAGGUCCCCCCCCUUGGAACUGAGACACGGUCCCGACUCCUACGGGAGGCAGCAGUGGGGAAUUUUGGACAAUGGGCGAAAGCCUGAUUCAGCCCUGCCGCGUGCAGGAUGAAGGCCUUCGGGUUGUAAACUGCUUUUGUACGGAACGAAAAGACUUUGGUUAAUACCUGGGGUCCAUGACGGUACCGUAAGAAUAAGCACCGGCUAACUACGUG
This 495-nucleotide ribosomal RNA is filed under the name uncultured bacterium. Its description in RNAcentral is "bacterial SSU rRNA". It matches the Rfam family "Bacterial small subunit ribosomal RNA", at positions 28 to 507 of the family's 1533-position model. The record is from RNAcentral.